AUCAGCUGUAUCUAAACAGAGCAGAGCUCAGGUGACAUCACAGAACAGGCAGAGGCAGUUCAGGGGUAUUCUGGUUGCCUUACCCAGCUCUGAAGUCUGUCAGCCUCUUCAGAUGUCACUUGCCAUGUGGUAAGGAAGUGUAGUCAGCAGCUGGUGCAGUGGGAAGAAGAGAAAGGAAGUUCCCCAAGACAAAAACAUCUCGGCAGACCGUGAUCAUGGGCUACAUUCUCCGUACCAGCUUCAUAGCUCCAGUGAGAAAAUAAAUUCCUGCAUCCAGGAGAUGUGGAGUAAGAGAUACAGCUGCCCUUGACCAUAUUUCUUACUUCCGAGAAGAUCGUAGCAGUAAUUCAGAAUCUCAUCCAGGAUACCUCAUCACAGGCUGGAGUGCAGUGUCAUGAGCUUGGCUCACUACAGCCUCCAUCUUCUGUGCUUAAGGAUCCUUCCCUCUCAACCUCCAAGGUAGCUGAGACUACAGGCAACAUUCGAAACCCAGGUGCCACUCCUUCAGGAAGGUACCAUCAAGCUCCAAGGACUCAUCCUCUUUCUCCUUCCCCACUACCUAGUCAUUAGAGCGUCAGCAUCCACUUCCUGAAAGGAAGAUGCCUGUUUUUCACAUAUCCCAGAAAGCCUCAUUUUAGGACAGCAUUUAGCAGAGUGUAUUCAGGAUCCCACUAACCUUUUCGGAAGACAUGACUUCCAGAUGAUAUAAGGCAAGAAUAAGAAAUUUCAGUGACAGGGAACAGAAAUCAUAUUUCUGCAUUCAGGAUCAUGUUUUCUUGGCUCCAUCAGGAACUGUGCAGGACUGUGCACUCUGUUGAUACUCACAUGGUGGAAUUAUAUUGCCCUUGGCCAACCCUAAAGCCAUCAAGAUAGCAGCAACUACUCUAUCAUUACUGUACCACCACCUGUAUGGAUCUCGUUGCCCAUAUGAAACUGAGUAAGGAACAAUGUGCAUCACACUCACAGAGAAAGAUGGACAAGUUUGGAAUAAUUCACUGUCGAAGUCUUCUUGAGCUGAGCAGUCAUGUGAGCUUGGAAGAUGAUCCCUCUCCAGCUGAUCCUUCAGCUCAGGCCAUCAUCUACAUCUGGAUUCCUGACCCGGAGAAACUAUGAGUAAUGUGUGCUGCUUUUGAGCCACUAAGCUACAUGAAUUAAUGAAGGAUCAUUAUUAAGUUUUUAAUGGGUCAAGAGAAAGUUACCACUGAGGUCUUCUCUACCUGGGCAACAAUUGACUCCUAACAACCACUAUAAGCUUGGAAGAUGAUCCCUCCCCAGCUGAUCCUUCAGUUCACAUGAAGCAUUUGGAAGUAAACACACGAUGGACUGAACACUUUGCUGCUUAGAAACUUCUUCUUCCAGAUUCCCUAGUUCAUCAUUAAGUAGUUAGGCCUCUCACAAAGCCCUUGGUCACGGAUACAGAUGGCUGAGUGUUCUGGCUGAUGAACAUGGGUUACUUAACCAGAGUUAAGCGAGGACUUUCUCACCUGAAACCACCAAGAGACACAAAAGCCAGAAAAGGACAGAAAUUAAUUCAAGGGUCAACAAAUAGAGUCGGCUUUCUUUAAGACCUGAAGUGUAGAAGUCUAGGUUGAACCCUAGGUUGAUUACGUUGAAGACUACAUUCUCCUGUGAAGCAAGCAUUCCUAAAGGGUCUCUACUUUUUGUAGCCUGGGGAUUUUCUACUCCCCCAACAGCCAGAUGAGGCAGAAACCCCUACAGACAUCCCUAUGUGCCUCCUGUGCAAGUGCAGUUGCCCCUUGAAGGCAGUUCUCCUGCUGCAGACCACGCCCACCAAGGGCAGAGUCACAGCCACUGCAGCUGAGCUCAGAGCCUUCUGUGGGGUCUGCAGGGGCAAGGCCAGCUGUCCCCUGGGAUAGUUUGAAGAAUGCAGUUUGUUUGUAUAAUAAAGAUGUUUCUCUACGUCAUUCAUCUUGCUAAUCAAGGACGUUUAACAGCUUCAGACUUUCCUGGUAAUAUUUGUUCUUGCCUUUUUUUGGCAAAUAUAGUUAACACUUCUAUGCAUUUUUUACCUCACAUAAACAUCAUCUAAAACCAUUCAUAUUUCUGUAUUGCGUAUUAAUGCUUUUCAUUCCUGUAUAUAAAAAUGCAUUCAUAAUCGCUUUUCAAAAUACAUUUUCAGUUACCUUUUCAAGCAUCAUUCUUUACUAAUUGAAUGGAAAUAUCACUUUUAUUGAGAAAGACAGAUGUUACACAAUUUUCAUUUUAGUAUUUUCUAGAAAUUUGCUGUGAAAUACCUCAGGUUGAAAAGGAGAGGGACACAGGCUUUUGUGAGGACCAUAAGACAAAAUUUACUGAGAGUCACAUGCUUAAAAUAAUCUUUCAUUGUUUGCACUAUAUGGCUUAGUUUGUUCUAAUUGUGAAAGGUCACAGGCAUUAAUUUGUGUGGAGGCAACACCAAAAAUCCCAUUGUGAAUGCAGAGAAUCACUUUGUUACUGUGCAAGUAAGAAUGUCCUCAUAUUGUUUGUUUUUAUUCUUACCAAAAAGCUGUAGACAUUGUCUGGAAUCUUUGAUUCCUUCCAACUUGUUUUUG
RNAcentral lists this long non-coding RNA (2552 nucleotides) under Homo sapiens (human). Its description in RNAcentral is "HSALNT0379882". The record is from RNAcentral. Lineage: Eukaryota; Metazoa; Chordata; Mammalia; Primates; Hominidae.